RNAcentral lists this ribosomal RNA (1501 nucleotides) under uncultured bacterium. Its description in RNAcentral is "bacterial SSU rRNA". It matches the Rfam family "Bacterial small subunit ribosomal RNA". The record is from RNAcentral.
GAGUUUCAUCCUGGCUCAGAUUGAACGCUGGCGGCAUGCCUAACACAUGCAAGUCGAACGGUUUUGGAGCUUGCUCCAAGAUAGUGGCGGACGGGUGAGUAACGCGUAGGAAUCUGCCUUGUAGAGGGGGACAACCCGGGGAAACUCGGGCUAAUACCGCAUAAUAAUCGAAAGAUGAAAGGGUGGGACCUUAGGGCCACUCGCUAUAAGAUGAGCCUGCGUUGGAUUAGCUAGUUGGUGGGGUAAAGGCCUACCAAGGCGACGAUCCAUAACUGGUCUGAGAGGAUGACCAGUCACACUGGGACUGAGACACGGCCCAGACUCCUACGGGAGGCAGCAGUGGGGAAUAUUGGACAAUGGGGGCAACCCUGAUCCAGCAAUGCCGCGUGUGUGAAGAAGGCCUGCGGGUUGUAAAGCACUUUUAGCGAUGAGGAAGGGGUUAGGUCGAAUAGGCUUAGCUUUUGACGUUAGUCGCAGAAAAAGCACCGGCUAACUCUGUGCCAGCAGCCGCGGUAAUACAGAGGGUGCAAGCGUUAAUCGGAAUGACUGGGCGUAAAGGGUGCGUAGGUGGCGUUAUAAGUCAGUUGUGAAAUCCCCGGGCUUAACCUGGGAACUGNCAUUGAUACUGUGAGGCUAGAGUUUGGGAGAGGAUAGUGGAAUUUCCGGUGUAGCGGUGAAAUGCGUAGAUAUCGGAAGGAACACCAGUGGCGAAGGCGACUAUCUGGCCCAAAACUGACACUGAGGCACGAAAGCGUGGGUAGCGAACAGGAUUAGAUACCCUGGUAGUCCACGCUGUAAACGAUGAGAACUAGGUGAAGGAUAGGUUAACCUUAUUUUGUACCGAAGCUAACGCGUUAAGUUCUCCGCCCUGGGGAGUACGGUCGCAAGAUUAAAACUCAAAGAAAUUGACGGGGGACCCGCACAAGCGGUGGAGCAUGUGGUUUAAUUCGAUGCAACGCGAAGAACCUUACCUACCCUUGACAUGUAUAGAAUCCAGAAGAGAUUUUGGAGUGCCCGCAAGGGAGCUAUAACACAGGUGCUGCAUGGCUGUCGUCAGCUCGUGUCGUGAGAUGUUGGGUUAAAUCCCGCAACGAGCGCAACCCUUGCCAAUAAUUGCCAUCAUUCAGUUGGGCACUUUAUUGGGACUGCCGGUGAUAAACCGGAGGAAGGUGGGGAUGACGUCAAGUCCUCAUGGCCCUUAUGGGUAGGGCUUCACACGUAAUACAAUGGUCGGUACAGAGGGUUGCCAAGCAGCGAUGCGGAGCCAAUCCCAGAAAGCCGAUCGUAGUCCGGAUUGUUCUCUGCAACUCGAGAGCAUGAAGUCGGAAUCGCUAGUAAUCGCGGAUCAGCAUGUCGCGGUGAAUACGUUCCCGGGUCUUGUACACACCGCCCGUCACACCAUGGGAGUGGAAUCUGCCAGAAGUAGGUAGCCUAACCGCAAGGGGGCAGUCGACCACGGUAGGGUCAGCGACUGGGGUGAAGUCGUAACAAGGUAACCGUA